AAAACGACUCUCGGCAACGGAUAUCUCGGCUCUUGCAUCGAUGAAGAACGUAGCGAACUGCGAUACUUGGUGUGAAUUGCAGAAUCCCGUGAACCAUCGAGUAUUUGAACGCAAGUUGCGCCCGAAGCCAUUAGGCCGAGGGCACGCCUGCCUGGGUGUCACGC
This 164-nucleotide ribosomal RNA is filed under the name Swertia rosulata. RNAcentral describes it as "5.8S ribosomal RNA". It matches the Rfam family "5.8S ribosomal RNA". From Rfam's summary of the family: 5.8S ribosomal RNA (5.8S rRNA) is a component of the large subunit of the eukaryotic ribosome. It is transcribed by RNA polymerase I as part of the 45S precursor that also contains 18S and 28S rRNA. The record is from RNAcentral. Lineage: Eukaryota; Viridiplantae; Streptophyta; Magnoliopsida; Gentianales; Gentianaceae.